Molecule: long non-coding RNA, 4780 nt
Organism: Ruditapes philippinarum (Manila clam)
Lineage: Eukaryota; Metazoa; Mollusca; Bivalvia; Venerida; Veneridae
Exons: 2
Source: RefSeq, a predicted model, not a curated record
AAUAUUUUUAUGAAACUUGAAAUAUGGGUAGAUGGCAGUCUGGAGGUUAUGCACAUCUUUUUCUUUUUUUCUUAUGUUGAAAAUUCUGGUUGCUAUGGCAACAAAUAGCCUGAAUUUCAAGAUUUCUGAUUUAAAUUUUUCAGAUUUUUCACUAUAUGUUCUUUAUUUCUUAAGGUGUUUACUUCAAACUUUAAAUAUAAGUUUUUGGUCAUCAACCACAUCAUAUGUGACAAGGUUUAUAACUCUAGCACAAAAAAUAUCAGUAUUACCUCCCUUGAACUUAGAUUUUUUAGGGGAAAAAAUGUUGUCUUUUUUAAAUAACUUCUUUAUUUCCUAAUGUAUCUACUUCAAACUUCAUAUAUAUGUUUCUUAUUAUCACUCGACAUUUUUGAGAAGGUUAAAUACUCUAGCAAGACUAUUUCCAGAAUUAUGUCCCCCUUGAACUUAGAUUUUUUUUGAGAUACUGGUAUUUUCACUCCAACUUCUUCAUUCCUUAUAGGAUUUACUUUAAAAUCACACAUCGUAAUAAUAUGACAAGGUUGUAUAAACAUAAUUUCCUUACUAAGCAUGGAAACUUAACACAUUACUGUGAUAUAGACAAACUUAUUUUAUUAUGUUUUGUGGUCGAUAUUUUCAAAUACAGACUUCAUCCUCAAAUUCAUUAUAAAUGGCAAUACACAGGAGUGUAUGACAAUUAAAGAACUUUUUGAGGGACCGGUAGGGGACUACUGUAUUGCCCGCAAUACUAUCAAAUGCUUGUUUUCAUACAAAUUUUUACAUAAAAUCCAUAAACUGUAGGAUAGUGAAGCACAUUGGAAGAAAUUUAUGAGAAAUACUGCCUGAAAAAGAACAAUAACAUUGAAUUAUAAUUAUUGAUAAUAAUUGUCCAAACACUGAUUUACAGGGACUGUUUCAAAUUUUCCAUGAACAUUACAAAAGGAUUUUUUAUGCCCCCACUUUUUAACUUGAGAAGAAACUAUAAGCUGUGCUUUAUGUCACUUUGUAGGGACAUGGCCUGUUGAUUUUGAGGACAUUUGGUCAAAGUUCAAGGUCACAGUGACACUGAAUUUAAAAUCUUUUUUUUCUCAGUUGAAGGCAUAAGCCAUGGUCUAUAUUAAUCGUUAUAAAAAUUCUUGACAGGUUACAUAGCCCCCCUAUUAUUUAUCAACUUCUUGUUAAGGUUAUACAGAUUUCUUUAGUCACAUUUAAACACUGUUUAUAUGUGUUCAUAUUAUUAGGCUAAGCUGAUUUCUGCAGCCAUGUUCUCAUACUGUUAGAUAAUACUGAUUUCUGCAGCCAUGUUUUGAGUAUUUUUUAUUUCAUCAAAUUCUGCAGCUAAUAUUCAUAAUGUAGCUGAUCUCUGCAGUUAUACUUUUAUAAUGUAAACUAUUCCUACAGGCAUAUAUUUUUAAGUUACUUUGAUUUCUGCAGCCAUCUUUACAAUGAGUUUUUGCAGCCAAUAUUUUAUUGUUAGGUGACACUUUCUUUUUCAGCCUAAGAGUUACAUUGCUAGGAUACACUGAUUUCUGCAGUCAUGAUUAUAUUGUUAGGUAACACUGAUUUUGCAGGCAUGAUUAUGUCAUUAGAUUAUACUGAUUUCUGCAGCCAUGUUUAUAUUGUGAUGUUACACUGAUUUUUCGCAGCCAUGUUUAUAUUGUUAGGUGACACUAAAUUUUUCAGUCUUAAUUACAUUGCUAGGUCACAGUAAUUUUUGCAGCCAUGAUUAUAAUGAAAGGUUACACUGAUUUUUGCAGCCAUGAUUAUAUCAUUAGAUUACACUGAUUUCUGCAGCCAUGUUAAUAUUGUGAUGUUACACUGAUUUUUGCAGCCAUGAUUAUUUUAUUAGGUUACACUGAUUUUUCAGCUAUGUUUAUGUUAUAUGUUACACUGAUUUCUGCAGCCACUGAUUUCUGCAGCCAUGUUUAUUUUGUUAGGUUACACUGAUUUCUGCAGCCAUGUUUAUAUUGUUAGGUUACACUAAUUUUACAGCCAUGUUUAUAUUGUUAGGUUACACUGAUUUCUGUACUUAACAGACCAACAUUGGCACCACAUGACAUGCUCUUGUUAGCUCACCUGACCACAAAUGAAUGGGAGGUGAGGUUUGUGAUAGACUGAUAUCCAUCAUAUGUCAUGCUUCAGCUGUAUAGUUAUUUACAACUUAUUUUAACAAUAUCUCCUCCAAAGUCAUGUGGUAGAUUUUGAUUAAACUUCACAGGAAUAUUCCCCUGGUGAUCCUCUACAUAAGUUAUAUAAAUGGUUCAAGUCUAAUGUGUAAGUAGGACACAGGAGCUAGAAAUAGACUUAAAAAUUAAAACUUUAAAUAAUCUUAAGAAAAGACUCUCAUAAUCACUUAGUUUACAUAUACUUAUAUAAGAAAACAUAUUUAAACUGUCUUCUUUGAAAUUACAUAUCCUAGAGCUUAGAUUUGGUUGCAUGCAGAGCAAAUUUCAGAUAUUGGCUUUGUAGCCUCAUCUUUUGGUACUGUACAAAAUUUUUAUAAAUUAUACCACAAAAAUCAGAUUUGGCCCCACUCUUUUGGUGGAAAGGACCAGAGGUCCACAAUCCUUAAAAACUGUAAAAUGGAUUGACUUCAAACUUCAAGAUAGUAUAUAACAGCUUUGACAAGUCUAGAAGUGCAGAAUUAUUUUCUUUUCUGAAUUUAAAUUAGGGAUGGCAACGAAUACAAAAAUCAAUACUCGAGUACUCGGUCAUUUUUCCGAUCGAGUACUCGGUUACUCGGAUGAUUUCCAAUGAUCUCACAGUAUCAACACCGUCCGGAUGCUACUUUCGUUUUCUAUUUAAAUUAAUAGAAUUCGUAGCUAUAAAUAGGACUGCACGGGAGGGAGACAAAUUAAUUAAAAUUAAUUUAACAACAUCAUAUUUUACAACGUUUUAAUUAAUGCAAUAGCAAGUUUAAAACGAGUAUGACAGUUCAUAUAUCUUUUUUCGUCUUGAAAUAAUAUAGACUGAUCGGCGGCAACAAAAGUUUAAAAAGGGUCUAAAUACUAGUUCCCCUUAGUGUUGCAUUCAUAAUAGCAAUCGGCCCUUUGUUGUUUUCAAAAUAGUUACUCCGCUACAAACUGUUACUGAAUAUCAUAAGAGCUGUAUGACAUAAGCGACACAUGUGCGCGUGUCAAACCGUUGAUCGCCUAUCAUUUUCGCACCUCUGCAAGGAUGUUUUGAUUACAUUUAACAGGUAUUUAAUGAAGAUAAUGCAUAUCUCCGAAAAUUGGACACACCUAUUAUUCUAAAUUGUAAAAACAUAUAAAUUAUAUAUUUUUUCCGAGUAAUCGAAUAUCAAUUUUGUUAACCGAUAUUCGAACGUUCGAUCGAGUACUCGGUUAACCGGUUACUCGUUGCCAUCCCUAAUUUAAAUUCAAUUUGCAGAUUGUGAAAUAGAUAAACAAACUAUAAAUGGCAGCAUAACUUUUACUGGUGCCAUUUUAUAGUUAUCUCCCUUUGUUUAAUCUGCAGCAUAUUGUUUGGUAACAUUUUUUUGUUGAGCAAUAUUUGUUGGUUUUACAAUCAUGAUUCAGUCAUAGAUAUACAUUGAUCCAAAUUAUGCUAUGUAUAUUUCUUGGGCAUGUGAAAUUUAACCACCAUAUAUAUCAUUGUAGUUGCUUAAUUUCUCUUUUUUUUGCCAAGGGUUUUUAAAUCUUGAUCUGAUUUAAUUCAUUUGCUUUUUUAAGUUACUUGAACAUGUUGGGAGAAAAAUGUUAAAUACAACAAAUGUUUAUCAAAGUGUUGUUGACAUGCUGUUGAAACUUGUAUAUAGGAUCUCAACAUGAGUUGCCAAAAUAUAUAUAAUUUUAUUAAAUGAGUUCAUGAAAUUGUUAAAAGUGAACCUCUUGAUGAGUUUGAUAAAAUUUUAUAUGACAACUAAUGUGAGAUUCCUUGUAUCUCAUUACUAAAUGCAUUGAAAUUAAUUCAUAACUAUUUGAAGCAUACGGAGAGCUUUUGUACAUACUAAGGUGUUGACGUCACACUUUGGGUGAAGGUUUUUGCAUGCAAAUUGCUAUCUCAUAAAUCUCUGAAGGGAAUGGAUUGAAACUUGACACACUUUCACACAUUUGUUUUAAAGCAUAAUAGGAGGUCACUGACCAUAACUUUAAUAUGGAUUUUGACAGAAUUUUGGCCCUUUUUGAACUAAGAAAAUACAGCAUUAUCAAGGCUCUUGUUUUACUAUUAAGUACUGAGAUAGUCGAGCAUGCUUUCCUAAUGACAGCUCUCGUUUAAAUUAAUUACACCAAUUUUUGUAUGGUGUUUUCCUUAUGAAAUAUAUAGAAAAAUUGAAGUCUCAACCAUGUUAUAUAACACAUAUGUAAUAUAAAGAAAUAUGUAAUGCUUAUAUUACAUAAAGAAACAAAAUGUCUUAAAUAAAUGUAAAAAAAAAAAUAGUAAAAUACCAAAAGAGAAUUGAUAAUUUUAUUUGCAUUUAGACUUUUAUUCACUUUUGUAAAGAUAUCUAUACAGAUAUUAUAAAUAAUUGUGGCAUAGUUUAUUAAUUGGUUUCACUUUUAAGAGUAAAUCUUUUGAAAGUUUUAUAAUAAAAUCUUGGUUUGUAUUGGGCAAGCUGAAGCUGUUAAGCUUCAUUCAUUACACACAAAUAUCUCAUUAGUUUGGGCAUUUUGGUGGCUACUGUAUUCAUGAAUCAAUGAAUAUUACAGUUGAUGAUGAUAAAAGAGACAAAACUUGUUGUUUUGAUGCGAUUUUAUAUGCUGAAUUAAUUAGUUCACAAGCAGUUUUGUACUGUAAUGUCAUUAAAAUUGAUGCAUAUGUA